AACGAACGCUGGCGGCAUGCCUAACACAUGCAAGUCGAACGAGACCUUCGGGUCUAGUGGCGCACGGGUGCGUAACGCGUGGGAACCUGCCCUUAGGUUCGGAAUAACUCCCCGAAAGGGGUGCUAAUACCGGAUAAUGUCUUCGGACCAAAGAUUUAUCGCCUUUGGAUGGGCCCGCGUUGGAUUAGCUAGCUGGUAGGGUAAAAGCCUACCAAGGCGACGAUCCAUAGCUGGUCUGAGAGGAUGAUCAGCCACACUGGGACUGAGACACGGCCCAGACUCCUACGGGAGGCAGCAGUGGGGAAUAUUGGACAAUGGGCGAAAGCCUGAUCCAGCAAGGCCGCGUGAGUGAUGAAGGCCUUAGGGUUGUAAAGCUCUUUUACCCGGGAUGAUAAUGACAGUACCGGGAGAAUAAGCUCCGGCUAACUCCGU
Molecule: ribosomal RNA, 432 nt
Filed under: uncultured bacterium
Lineage: Bacteria
Description: partial 16S ribosomal RNA
Rfam family: Bacterial small subunit ribosomal RNA
Source: RNAcentral